CUUGACUGUAGCUUGGAAUUGGGUUCGGGCUCUUCUUGCGCAGCCUAGGUGGGAGGCGUUGAAGGUUUUCUUUCGGGAAGACUGGAGCCAACAGUGAGAGACCACUCUGGAGGAGCUAGAAUUCUAAUGGCGUUCCUUGAAGCAGGACGCUUGACAGUUUCAGGUGGGCAGUUUGACUGGGGCGGUCACCUCCUAAAAGGUAACGGAGGUGUGCAAAGGUUCCCUCAGGCUGGACGGAAAUCAGCCGUAGAGUGUAAAGGCAGAAGGGAGCUUGACUGCAAGACCUACAAGUCGAGCAGGGGCGAAAGCCGGCCUUAGUGAUCCGACGGUUCCAUGUGGAAGGGCCGUCGCUCAACGGAUAAAAGUUA
RNAcentral lists this ribosomal RNA (368 nucleotides) under uncultured organism. RNAcentral describes it as "bacterial LSU rRNA". It matches the Rfam family "Bacterial large subunit ribosomal RNA", at positions 2099 to 2465 of the family's 2925-position model. The record is from RNAcentral.